AUGAAUUCGUCAAUUAAUAACAGAAUCUAAUAGGAUGGUAAAAAAAAUCUGAAAGUUUAUCCUAUAAAAAUAAUAUAUCCCUCUGUACCCUUUGGACUUUGGAGCAAAGUAGGAGUAUCUAACAAGGCUUCAACCAAUACACUCUGUCAUGCUUAUGCAUUAACCCAAAAAAAAAAAA
Vitis riparia (riverbank grape) is the source of this 178-nucleotide long non-coding RNA. RefSeq lists it as uncharacterized. NCBI's taxonomy places the organism in Eukaryota, Viridiplantae, Streptophyta, Magnoliopsida, Vitales, Vitaceae. The transcript is spliced from 2 exons. The record is from RefSeq and is a predicted model, not a curated record.